UGAAAUCGUUCUUAGAUAAAGCUUGGGUGAAACUAAGUGGAGGUCCGAACUGACUGAUGUUGAAGAAUCAGCGGAUGAAUUGUGGUUAGAGGUGAAAUGCCACUCGA
Molecule: non-coding RNA, 107 nt
Filed under: Gossypium barbadense (sea-island cotton)
Lineage: Eukaryota; Viridiplantae; Streptophyta; Magnoliopsida; Malvales; Malvaceae
Also listed under: 1 other name
Source: Rfam by way of RNAcentral